GGGGGUGAAAGGUCUCGACUUAGGUGGGCGAGUAAUGGUGGCAUGCCGCGGAAGCAAUGACGGCCGCGAUAACAAUCAUUGCACAAUACAAAUGCUGAUAAACCAUCAGUAUUAACCUUCAACGGGUUAAUGAGAACUAUGCAAGUAGUUCCUAGCCCGAUGAUGGCUCCAGUCUUCGUUCGCUAAUCCGAACGAAGCCUCAAACCGAUCUGCCUAAGGGUUGGAUUUGAGCACUUAGUUUAGGCUAGUCCUUUAUCUUGCCUUGAGUUAAAGGAUGAGAUUUAUGAAAAGGGUAGUCCCUUUAAAAUCCCGUUUACCGGAGAGUUUAGGGAUGAAGUUUAAAAGGUAUCCUACGCAUGUAGAGGCUUUUAUUCAAGCGCUUAAGGACGCGGGUUCAAUUCCCGCCACCUCCACCA
Molecule: transfer-messenger RNA, 416 nt
Filed under: Candidatus Omnitrophota
Lineage: Bacteria; Pseudomonadati
Also listed under: 5 other names
Description: GWF2-43-52 sp001805445 Standard tmRNA
Rfam family: transfer-messenger RNA
About the family: Bacterial tmRNA, also known as 10Sa RNA or SsrA, is named for its dual tRNA and mRNA-like properties. Its role is to liberate the mRNA from a stalled ribosome.
Source: RNAcentral